Jaculus jaculus (lesser Egyptian jerboa) is the source of this 1215-nucleotide long non-coding RNA. RefSeq lists it as uncharacterized. The transcript is spliced from 3 exons. The record is from RefSeq and is a predicted model, not a curated record. Lineage: Eukaryota; Metazoa; Chordata; Mammalia; Rodentia; Dipodidae.
UUCCUGCUGGGGGGUGGGGAGGAAAUGCAAAGGGGGGGUGCAGCCUUGGACUCAGGAGGGAGGCCAGCCGUGGAGUCCUCCCAGCCCCUGGAUAAACUCCGUUCGCCUGACAAUAAAAAACGGAUUAAAAGUGCUGGAAUGUAGCCACUGCCCAGGAGCACCCAGCAGCCCGCGAAGGGGUGUUAGAGCGAGUCUUCGGUGUGGGGAACGCCUCCCUCGUUGGUGAUCUGGGGCCGCGAAGCUUCACACAGCGGUGCCCAGGAACAAGGACGAAAGCAAGUAUAGUCUUGGCCCUUGGACUGAAGACAGCAGAACGGCAGGAAGGUUUCCUGGGGCAUCCGGAGUCCUCAUAGUUCAUGUCAAGUUCUCCCCGCUGCUCACAACCAGAUGAUGGAAUCAGAAAGGACAACUUCGAGCCAGCUUUAAUCUCUGAGCCAGCAGGCUUCCAAGUCAAGUAGUGUGAUUCCCCUAAAACUUUUUCAAUUGAGGACCAUGAUCCUUCCCAUCCUUCCACAGGAUUGUGCAUAAAGUGGAGAAAAACAUUUUAAUCCAAGUCUAAAGACUUAGAUUUCUCAACCAAGUAACUGUUUAUUACCUUGUAUAUGGGUGUAAGUGCAUGCCAUCUUAUAGUACAUGUGUCACUGUAUGUAUAAUCGUUUAGUUUACAUACACAUAAAGGAGCUGUGCAUGAAAAACCUUGUAAUUAAAUGAUGAAGCUGCAGAGAAGUAGAAAGUGAAGAUCAUCUGGGUGUAUCAUUAGUAAUCAUUUUCCUACGCAGUAACCACUACCAGUUGAGUGUGGCUUAGAACACCUUCAAUGGCAGCAAUCCCGCUUGCCUUCAGCGUUUAGCUAACUUCUUUCUGUGCCUCCUUGGCUCUCUUGGGAUUCUCCCCACAACUUGUCCUCUGCAAGAGGUACUAAUGUUAUUUUUUUUUAAUUCCACAUUUGAUGAAAUCAUAUUUAUUCCAGAAUUCACAAAUAAAUCAGAGACUCUGAGAGGGUCUUUUCCCAAUACUUCUCCUUUCACACACAAAAAAAUGCUUUUAAAUCCGAAAGUACGGCAGGUAAAUCCCAAUCUGCAGACACUGGAAAUUAAAAUUCUGCCAGUAGAUGGCGCAAAGAUCCCUUCCACGGACGUCCUUACGUGACCCCUUUACAACAAAAAGACCAAGAGAAAAGAAAGAAAACACAACUCCAGUGCUCUGGGUUCAACU